UCUAUGCAUAACAAAUUCCAAUAUAUCAAGAGAAAUAAAGGGUUUUCCACUUUUAAAAUGAACUUUGACAUGGAUAUGUUAAUUCCUACUUUAUCAACUACUUUCAAAUGUUCUUGUUAAAAAGUGAUAUAGUUGAAAACGCUAUACUGCAGUAAGUGCUAAUCUAUUUUAUUUUUCCUUUUUAUUAUCAUUAUUAUUAUUAUAUUUUUUCAAGUCUUGCAAAGUAAUUUUGUUUGCUUCAUUUUGCAGGUCCUCAAUGGUUAUAUUGCACUUGGGAAUGCUCAAUUUCCUAAUGGAACCAAUGGUAUUUUAUUUUAUUUUUUAAAUUAUGUAUUUCAUUUUAAGUGAAAUGUAUUGACUAUAUUCUUGUAAGAUUGUGUGAUAGGAAGGUACAUGUUCAUUUUCCUACAGGUAAUGCCCUAGACAUUCUUGCUUGAGUUCCACUAUAGAAAAAUGGUCUUGAUUAUCGGCACGGUACAGGCCACGGAAUUGGGUCUUACCUUAAUGUUCAUGAAAGCAAGUAUCAAAUUGGUCUCCGUUAUAGUGGAGGUGCCCCGUAUGCUUUUAAUGCUGUCACUAAAGUUUGGCAUUAUACCAAUUGUGGUGCCAGUUGGUGUUCGAGAUUUUGACAUUGAUGGGGAACUUUGGGUCAAAUUAGGAUUGAUACCAACAGAGCCUUUUGUAGGAGUUGUAAUAUUCUCUAGAUUUUAUUCAUAAAACACUUGUACAUUUUUCUCUUGCUAAUUCAGGUUUAGUUUUUAGUUUUUCUACAUGAUUCUUAUGUCAAGAUGAAGUGUAAGGACCCAAUUUCAUUAUUAAAUUCUCCA
Molecule: long non-coding RNA, 827 nt
Organism: Ziziphus jujuba (common jujube)
Lineage: Eukaryota; Viridiplantae; Streptophyta; Magnoliopsida; Rosales; Rhamnaceae
Exons: 2
Source: RefSeq, a predicted model, not a curated record